This 292-nucleotide ribosomal RNA is filed under the name uncultured bacterium. RNAcentral describes it as "partial 16S ribosomal RNA". It matches the Rfam family "Bacterial small subunit ribosomal RNA", at positions 505 to 796 of the family's 1533-position model. The record is from RNAcentral.
GUGCCAGCAGCCGCGGUAAGACGAACCGUGCGAACGUUGUUCGGAAUCACUGGGCUUAAAGGGCGCGUAGGCGGACCACCAAGUCCGGGGUGAAAUCCUCCGGCUUAACCGGAGAAUUGCCUGGGAUACUGGUGGUCUUGAGGGAGGUAGGGGCACGCGGAACUUCCGGUGGAGCGGUGAAAUGCGUUGAUAUCGGAAGGAACGCCGGUGGCGAAAGCGGCGUGCUGGCCCUCUUCUGACGCUGAGGCGCGAAAGCCAGGGGAGCGAACGGGAUUAGAAACCCUUGUAGUCC